RNAcentral lists this ribosomal RNA (301 nucleotides) under uncultured bacterium. Its description in RNAcentral is "partial 16S ribosomal RNA". It matches the Rfam family "Bacterial small subunit ribosomal RNA", at positions 509 to 807 of the family's 1533-position model. The record is from RNAcentral.
CAGUAGCCACGGUAAUACGUAGGGUGCAAGCGUUAAUCGGAAUUACUGGGCGUAAAGCGUGCGCAGGCGGUUAUAUAAGACAGAUGUGAAAUCCCCGGGCUCAACCUGGGAACUGCAUUUGUGACUGUAUAGCUAGAGUACGGCAGAGGGGGAUGGAAUUCCGCGUGUAGCAGUGAAAUGCGUAGAUAUGCGGAGGAACACCGAUGGCGAAGGCAAUCCCCUGGGCCUGCACUGACGCUCAUGCACGAAAGCGUGGGGAGCAAACAGGAUUAGAUACCCCCGUAGUCCCUGUCUCUUAUAC